GUGAGUCAUCGAAUCUUUGAACGCAAAUUGCGCUCUCAGGAUAGGCCUGGGAGCACGUGUCUUUGAGCAUCGAUUCUACAAACCCUCGACGGCGUGCUUUGCUUCUGCAAGGCACACGCAGUCGGAAAAUGAGUCAAUUCGCUUCACAGUGAGUGACUUCAAAUGAAAUGAGCUGCUUUUGAAUCAAAUGCUUUGGGCCUAAACAGUCCAUAGCCUUGCGCUUUCCUCAAUAGCACUAUCUGGUGCUUGUCGCUAGUGACGUGGAUAAUUUCACACUCUUGUGAACCUUCCAAACGUGAC
RNAcentral lists this unclassified non-coding RNA (300 nucleotides) under uncultured fungus. Its description in RNAcentral is "sequence contains 5.8S rRNA gene, ITS2". The stretch from base 1 to 72 matches the Rfam family "5.8S ribosomal RNA", at positions 84 to 154 of the family's 154-position model. The record is from RNAcentral. Lineage: Eukaryota; Fungi.